UAAGGCCUUAGCUUAAUUAAAGCGUCUGAUUUGCAAUCAGGAGAUGUAAGUUAAUCUCUUGUAGGCCUUAAU
RNAcentral lists this transfer RNA (72 nucleotides) under Schizothorax molesworthi. RNAcentral's name for it is "tRNA-Ala". It matches the Rfam family "tRNA". From Rfam's summary of the family: Transfer RNA (tRNA) molecules are approximately 80 nucleotides in length. Their secondary structure includes four short double-helical elements and three loops (D, anti-codon, and T loops). The record is from RNAcentral. Lineage: Eukaryota; Metazoa; Chordata; Actinopteri; Cypriniformes; Cyprinidae.